Molecule: ribosomal RNA, 253 nt
Filed under: uncultured bacterium
Lineage: Bacteria
Description: partial 16S ribosomal RNA
Rfam family: Bacterial small subunit ribosomal RNA
Source: RNAcentral
UACGAAGGGGGCUAGCGUUGCUCGGAAUCACUGGGCGUAAAGGGUGCGUAGGCGGGUCUUUAAGUCAGGGGUGAAAUCCUGGAGCUCAACUCCAGAACUGCCUUUGAUACUGAAGAUCUUGAGUUCGGGAGAGGUGAGUGGAACUGCGAGUGUAGAGGUGAAAUUCGUAGAUAUUCGCAAGAACACCAGUGGCGAAGGCGGCCGACUGGUCCGGUUCUGACGCUGAGGCGCGAAAGCGUGGGGAGCAAACAGG